ACCCAGCUGACGAGUCUCAAAUAGGACGAAACGCGCGUCGUGGAU
RNAcentral lists this non-coding RNA (45 nucleotides) under Schistosoma mansoni. Lineage: Eukaryota; Metazoa; Platyhelminthes; Trematoda; Strigeidida; Schistosomatidae. The record is from RNAcentral.